UGUGUAGGCGGUUGUUUAAGUUUGGUGUGAAAUCUCCCGGCUCAACUGGGAGGGUGCGCCGAAUACUGAAUGACUCGAGUGCGGGAGAGGAGAGUGGAAUUCCUGGUGUAGCGGUGAAAUGCGUAGAUAUCAGGAGGAACACCGGUGGUGUAGACGGCUCUCUGGACCGUAACUGACGCUGAGACACGAAAGCGUGGGUAGCAAACAGGAUUAGAUACCCUGGUAGUCCACGCCCUAAACGAUGCAUAUUUGGUGUGGGCCGUUCAGUCGGUCCGUGCCGGAGCUAACGCGUUAAAUAUGCCGCCGUGGGGAGUACAGUCGCAAGGCUAGAA
This 332-nucleotide ribosomal RNA is filed under the name uncultured bacterium. Its description in RNAcentral is "bacterial SSU rRNA". It matches the Rfam family "Bacterial small subunit ribosomal RNA", at positions 568 to 899 of the family's 1533-position model. The record is from RNAcentral.